GACGAACGCUGGCGGCGUGCCUAACACAUGCAAGUCUAACGAGAAAGGGGUAGCAAUAUCCUGAGUACAGUGGCGCACGGGUGAGUAACACGUAGGCAAUUUGCCUUCAGGACGGGGACAACCUCGAGAAAUCGGGGCUAAUACCCGAUAAUGCAGCGGCACCGCAUGGUGACAGUUGUUAAAGGCCCGCUAGGGCGCCCGGAGAUGAGCCUGCGUCCCAUUAGGUAGUUGGUGAGGUAACGGCCCACCAAGCCUACGAUGGGUAGCUGGUCUGAGAGGAUGAUCAGCCACACUGGAACUGAGACACGGUCCAGACUCCUACGGGAGGCAGCAGUGAGGAAUAUUGCGCAAUGGCCGAAAGGCUGACGCAGCGACGCCGCGUGAAGGAUGAAGUCCGUUAGGAUGUAAACUUCUUUUGCAGGGGAAGAAUGUGGCGCCUUGGGCGCCAUUGACGGUACCCUGCGAAUAAGGGUCGGCUAACUACGUGCC
This 489-nucleotide ribosomal RNA is filed under the name uncultured bacterium. Its description in RNAcentral is "bacterial SSU rRNA". It matches the Rfam family "Bacterial small subunit ribosomal RNA", at positions 28 to 509 of the family's 1533-position model. The record is from RNAcentral.